UGCCCAGCAACUCCUAUUCCUACCUCCUCGCGGUACUGGCCGGGGUACGAGUAACCUUAGGGAAGAUCGGGUAACCAACCCCCGGUGGGAACUUUGGUCGUAUGCUGACAGGGAAGG
Non-coding RNA from Aedes aegypti (yellow fever mosquito), 117 nucleotides. The record is from Rfam. NCBI's taxonomy places the organism in Eukaryota, Metazoa, Arthropoda, Insecta, Diptera, Culicidae.